UACGUAGGGGGCAAGCGUUGUCCGGAAUCAUUGGGCGUAAAGAGCGCGUAGGCGGCCCUGUAAGUCCGCUGUGAAAGUCAAGGGCUCAACCCUUGAAUGCCGGUGGAUACUGCAGGGCUAGAGUCCGGAAGAGGCGAGUGGAAUUCCUGGUGUAGCGGUGAAAUGCGCAGAUAUCAGGAGGAACACCGGUGGCGAAGGCGGGUCUCUGGGCAGUAACUGACGCUGAGGAGCGAAAGCGUGGGGAGCGAACAGG
This 253-nucleotide ribosomal RNA is filed under the name uncultured bacterium. Its description in RNAcentral is "partial 16S ribosomal RNA". It matches the Rfam family "Bacterial small subunit ribosomal RNA", at positions 524 to 776 of the family's 1533-position model. The record is from RNAcentral.